This 2907-nucleotide ribosomal RNA is filed under the name Yersinia ruckeri. RNAcentral describes it as "23S ribosomal RNA". It matches the Rfam family "Bacterial large subunit ribosomal RNA". The record is from RNAcentral. Lineage: Bacteria; Pseudomonadati; Pseudomonadota; Gammaproteobacteria; Enterobacterales; Yersiniaceae.
GGUUAAGCGACUAAGCGUACACGGUGGAUGCCUAGGCAGUCAGAGGCGAUGAAGGGCGUGCUAAUCUGCGAAAAGCGUCGGUAAGCUGAUAUGAAGCGUAAUAACCGACGAUACCCGAAUGGGGAAACCCAGUGCAAUUCGUUGCACUAUUGCAUGGUGAAUACAUAGCCAUGCAAGGCGAACCGGGGGAACUGAAACAUCUAAGUACCCCGAGGAAAAGAAAUCAACCGAGAUUCCCCCAGUAGCGGCGAGCGAACGGGGAAGAGCCCAGAGUCUGAAUCAGUUUGUGUGUUAGUGGAAGCGUCUGGAAAGUCGCACGGUACAGGGUGAUAGUCCCGUACACAAAAACACACUGGCUGUGAACUCGAUGAGUAGGGCGGGACACGUGACAUCCUGUCUGAAUAUGGGGGGACCAUCCUCCAAGGCUAAAUACUCCUGACUGACCGAUAGUGAACCAGUACCGUGAGGGAAAGGCGAAAAGAACCCCGGCGAGGGGAGUGAAAUAGAACCUGAAACCGUGUACGUACAAGCAGUGGGAGCACCUUCGUGGUGUGACUGCGUACCUUUUGUAUAAUGGGUCAGCGACUUAUAUUUUGUAGCAAGGUUAACCGAAUAGGGGAGCCGUAGGGAAACCGAGUCUUAACUGGGCGUCUAGUUGCAAGGUAUAGACCCGAAACCCGGUGAUCUAGCCAUGGGCAGGUUGAAGGUUGGGUAACACUAACUGGAGGACCGAACCGACUAAUGUUGAAAAAUUAGCGGAUGACUUGUGGCUGGGGGUGAAAGGCCAAUCAAACCGGGAGAUAGCUGGUUCUCCCCGAAAGCUAUUUAGGUAGCGCCUCGUGAACUCAUCUUCGGGGGUAGAGCACUGUUUCGGCUAGGGGUCCAUCCCGGAUUACCAAACCGAUGCAAACUCCGAAUACCGAAGAAUGUUAUCACGGGAGACACACGGCGGGUGCUAACGUCCGUCGUGAAGAGGGAAACAACCCAGACCGCCAGCUAAGGUCCCAAAGUCAUGGUUAAGUGGGAAACGAUGUGGGAAGGCAUAGACAGCCAGGAUGUUGGCUUAGAAGCAGCCAUCAUUUAAAGAAAGCGUAAUAGCUCACUGGUCGAGUCGGCCUGCGCGGAAGAUGUAACGGGGCUAAACCAUGCACCGAAGCUGCGGCAGCGACGCUUAGGCGUUGUUGGGUAGGGGAGCGUUCUGUAAGCCGUUGAAGGUGGCCUGUGAGGGCUGCUGGAGGUAUCAGAAGUGCGAAUGCUGACAUAAGUAACGAUAAUGCGGGUGAAAAACCCGCACGCCGGAAGACCAAGGGUUCCUGUCCAACGUUAAUCGGGGCAGGGUGAGUCGACCCCUAAGGCGAGGCUGAAAAGCGUAGUCGAUGGGAAACAGGUUAAUAUUCCUGUACUGGGUGUGACUGCGAAGGGGGGACGGAGAAGGCUAGGCUAGCCGGGCGACGGUUGUCCCGGUUUAAGCAUGUAGGCGGAGCGACUUGGUAAAUCCGGUUGCUUAUCAACGCUGAGGUGUGAUGACGAGCCACUACGGUGGUGAAGUAGUUGAUGCCAAGCUUCCAGGAAAAGCCUCUAAGCAUCAGGUGACAUUCAAUCGUACCCCAAACCGACACAGGUGGUCAGGUAGAGAAUACUCAGGCGCUUGAGAGAACUCGGGUGAAGGAACUAGGCAAAAUGGUGCCGUAACUUCGGGAGAAGGCACGCUGGCAUUAGGUAAAGAGACUUGCUCUCGGCGCCGAAGCCAGUCGCAGAUACCAGCUGGCUGCAACUGUUUAAUAAAAACACAGCACUGUGCAAACACGAAAGUGGACGUAUACGGUGUGACGCCUGCCCGGUGCUGGAAGGUUAAUUGAUGGGGUCAGCCGCAAGGCGAAGCUCUUGAUCGAAGCCCCAGUAAACGGCGGCCGUAACUAUAACGGUCCUAAGGUAGCGAAAUUCCUUGUCGGGUAAGUUCCGACCUGCACGAAUGGCGUAAUGAUGGCCAGGCUGUCUCCACCCGAGACUCAGUGAAAUUGAACUCGCUGUGAAGAUGCAGUGUACCCGCGGCAAGACGGAAAGACCCCGUGAACCUUUACUAUAGCUUGACACUGAAUAUUGAGCCUUGAUGUGUAGGAUAGGUGGGAGGCAUUGAAGCGUGGACGCCAGUCUGCGUGGAGCCAACCUUGAAAUACCACCCUUUAAUGUUUGAUGUUCUAACUCGGCCCCAUAAUCUGGGGUGAGGACAGUGUCUGGUGGGUAGUUUGACUGGGGCGGUCUCCUCCCAAAGAGUAACGGAGGAGCACGAAGGUUAGCUAAUCACGGUCGGACAUCGUGAGGUUAGUGCAAAGGCAUAAGCUAGCUUGACUGCGAGAGUGACGGCUCGAGCAGGUACGAAAGUAGGUCUUAGUGAUCCGGUGGUUCUGAAUGGAAGGGCCAUCGCUCAACGGAUAAAAGGUACUCCGGGGAUAACAGGCUGAUACCGCCCAAGAGUUCAUAUCGACGGCGGUGUUUGGCACCUCGAUGUCGGCUCAUCACAUCCUGGGGCUGAAGUAGGUCCCAAGGGUAUGGCUGUUCGCCAUUUAAAGUGGUACGCGAGCUGGGUUUAGAACGUCGUGAGACAGUUCGGUCCCUAUCUGCCGUGGGCGUUGGAAGAUUGAGAGGGGCUGCUCCUAGUACGAGAGGACCGGAGUGGACGCAUCACUGGUGUUCGGGUUGUCAUGCCAAUGGCAUUGCCCGGUAGCUAAAUGCGGAAAAGAUAAGCGCUGAAAGCAUCUAAGCGCGAAACUUGCCUCGAGAUGAGUCUUCCCUGGGGCUUUAAGCCCCCUGAAGGAACGUUAAAGACUAUGACGUUGAUAGGCUGGGUGUGUAAGUGCAGCGAUGCAUUGAGCUAACCAGUACUAAUGAUCCGUGAGGCUUAACCUU